Molecule: ribosomal RNA, 600 nt
Filed under: Burkholderia sp.
Lineage: Bacteria; Pseudomonadati; Pseudomonadota; Betaproteobacteria; Burkholderiales; Burkholderiaceae
Description: bacterial SSU rRNA
Rfam family: Bacterial small subunit ribosomal RNA
Source: RNAcentral
UGCAGUCGAACGGCAGCACGGGUGCUUGCGCCUGGUGGCGAGUGGCGAACGGGUGAGUAAUACAUCGGAACCUGUCCUGGAGGGAGGGAUAGCCCGGCGAAAGCCGGAUUAAUACCGCAUACGAUCUACGGAUGAAAGCGAGGGACCUUCCGGCCUCGCGCUAUAGGGUUGAUCGAUGGCUGAUUAGCUAGUUGGAGGGGUAAAGGCCUACCAAGGCGACGAUCAGUAGCUGGUCUGAGAGGACGACCAGCCACACUGGGACUGAGACACGGCCCAGACUCCUACGGGAGGCAGCAGUGGGGAAUUUUGGACAAUGGGCGAAAGCCUGAUCCAUGCAUGCCGCGUGUGUGAAGAAGGCCUUCGGGUUGUAAAUUACUUUUGUCCGGAAAGAAAUCCUUGGCUCUAAUACAGUCGGGGGAUGACGGUACCGGAAGAAUAAGCACCGGCUAACUACGUGCCAGCAGCCGCGGUAAUACGUAGGGUGCGAGCGUUAAUCGGAAUUACUGGGCGUAAAGCGUGCGCAGGCGGUUUGCUAAGACCGAUGUGAAAUCCCCGGGCUCAACCUGGGAACUGCAUUGGUGACUGGCAGGCUACAGUAUG